This 460-nucleotide ribosomal RNA is filed under the name uncultured bacterium. Its description in RNAcentral is "partial 16S ribosomal RNA". It matches the Rfam family "Bacterial small subunit ribosomal RNA", at positions 338 to 795 of the family's 1533-position model. The record is from RNAcentral.
CCUACGGGUGGCAGCAGUGAGGAAUAUUGGUCAAUGGACGCAAGUCUGAACCAGCCAUGCCGCGUGCAGGAAGACGGCUCUAUGAGUUGUAAACUGCUUUUGUACGAGGGUAACCGCAGAUACGCGUAUCUGUCUGAAAGUAUCGUACGAAUAAGGAUCGGCUAACUCCGCGCCAGCAGCCGCGGUAAUACGGAGGAUUCAAGCGUUAUCCGGAUUUAUUGGGUUUAAAGGGUGCGUAGGCGGUCGGAUAAGUUAGAGGUGAAAUCCCGAGGCUCAACUUCGGAAUUGCCUCUGAUACUGUUCGUCUAGAGAGUAGUUGCGGUAGGCGGAAUGUAUGGUGUAGCGGUGAAAUGCUUAGAGAUCAUACAGAACACCGAUUGCGAAGGCAGCUUACCAGGCUACUUCUGACGUUGAGGCACGAAAGCGUGGGGAGCAAACAGGAUUAGAUACCCCUGUAGUC